Molecule: small RNA, 248 nt
Filed under: Arabidopsis thaliana (thale cress)
Lineage: Eukaryota; Viridiplantae; Streptophyta; Magnoliopsida; Brassicales; Brassicaceae
Description: ATSL122170
Source: RNAcentral
AUAAUAAAGUUAUAAAAAUACCCUCAAGACUCUGGUCGUCGUUACCGUUCAAACGACAGAGAGAAUAGAAGAAGACUAGCCGGAGAACCAAAAUCGAACGAUAACCGUUACACUAAUAAACUUGCCCUAUCAUCUUAUCUUUCAUGGAUUCACUUCCUCACAAAUUCUCAGGUGUUUUAUUUUAUCUUUACUUAUCCUAUAAAUCUCUAGGGUUUCUUCUAUCCAAUUCAUUUCUCACCUCAUAAAUU